This 224-nucleotide long non-coding RNA is filed under the name Sorghum bicolor (sorghum). RNAcentral's name for it is "long non-coding RNA (SBIC_LNC011230)". Lineage: Eukaryota; Viridiplantae; Streptophyta; Magnoliopsida; Poales; Poaceae. The record is from RNAcentral.
AAUACUUUCUUAUUGUCUAAUAAGCAUCAUGUAUUAUUCCUGAAGAAAGUAGCUAUGAAUUAUACAUUAGUCCCAGCAAGAUCACACCUAAAACAUGCCGAAUCCCCAGCUCAAGACUAUAGUAGUUACAGAAAAGAGCACAACAUACAUACUUUUAUCUUUUUUAUUAUAUAUAUACAUGACACGGGAUUCGCACGCAUGCCUUUACUAACAAAGCCCUAAAA